CCAUGUACAGUACAUUGUCGUCUUUUCUAGAUUUAAUUCAAAUUCUAAUCUUUAGAAGCCCAUAUCUCCUAAAUAUCUCCUAAAUCGUAGAUCCGAUUCCAAUGAAACUUGGACCUAAAUUCAUCUAAAUUCAAACCCUACCUUUUAACACUAAAUUUGCUAUUUAAUAUUUUAUUUGAAUUUUCUUAUUUUAUUCAAAUACCGUUUGAAUUUAUGUUUGCCUUUUCAAAUAUUUCUUUUUAAUCCAAAAUACCCUUUAGCCACUAAAAAGCCGCCGGUUGGAACUUUACGCCUUUCAUGGGGACGUUCGUACAGUCUACCGACCCCGACGUCGGACCGUUGGUUGUAAAGCCCGGCAAAACCAAACCUAAGGUCGAAGUGAUGCUCCUGGCACCCCACGCCUCGAUGCGUAUAGUGGUCGGAGCUUCACUAUUCCCUCGACCUCCACAGCACGCCGCACAGUUAGCUCUCGAGCUCUGUGUGAUCCUAGCCGCUCCACCGCCACUCACGGUUGUUGGAGUUACACUUCCGCCCCACCAAACCUACACCAACCUCCUAUUCCUCUAGCCGAUUUGUUGUCAGUCGACACCGGCUAUAAAGGACACUAAAUCUAGUCGUUAUGCUGCCAACCAAACCCUAGCCGAUACCUUGCUAGUCAAAUCCCAGCUGUCAUCCAAAUUCUAUACCCUCUACAAUACCACCUAUCCACCAUACUCUCAGCCACCUACUUUCUGUCUACCAGAAUCUAUACAUAAAAUAUAGAAUCUGGCCGAUAUAUUGCCCUACUCCUCAAUCAGCCUAAAUAUAACCAAACCCUAGGUAUAAUCCUACCUAAAUCCUAGCCAUUCUUCUACCAAAGCCCAACAUCGACCAAUGUUAGCCCAUAAUCCCUAUACCCUAUAAAGGAGAUAUUAUACCAUGAACCCUAGCUCUCCUAGCCGCUUAUCGAUCUUUUGCUAUCUUAUGGAUUUUAUGGAAUUUGGCUCUUCCUCUUCUGACAGUAGAGUCUAUUAUAUUUUGGAGGCAACCUGUGGUAUUUCGAGGAUCGGAUAAUCAGGUUGCCUAUCUCGGAUUUAUUUGCGUUGGAGUAAGGCAAGUUAUUAUUCCUCCCCAUUGAGCAUAAAUGUCCUAUAUUCUAUAUCUCUAUUCUAUGCAUUAGUCAUACAUGAUUUUGAAUGCAUAACCUGAACAUAGCAAACCAGAUAUAUGCUAGAUUUUGCUUAGCCAUGCCUAGUUAGAUUGCAUAAAAUAUAAUGAACUUAGAUUGGAACAGUACGGUAGAAAUGGUUAAUUUCUGGGUGGCUAGUACUGUUCCAACCGACAUAAGACUGCCAAGUACAUGUGAAGAACAUAUGAGUACGACCGCAAUUCUCGUAUGGGCAUAGACCUAGCUGAUUAAGUUAUCUAGCAAAGGUGGUACCUCUGUAUAGUGGUUCUUCUUAAGUUCUCGCGCAGGAGGCAAACUUAUGCCGAGCAGGGCAAUAUUGUGAUAUUUACCGAGGCGCAGGUAAAUAUAUGAGAUUUAAGAUUAAUGUCAUGACUUAUUUGUGAACCCUGAUUGUGAUGACAUGGUGUCAUACAAUCAGUUCUCUCUAAAGACCUCGGGAACGCCAGAACUCCUCUCGCUGCUGAUAACGUUACGUUCAGAGCGCAUGGGGACUAAAGUUCAUGGAACAGGUACCACUGAUGUUAGUAACCGAAAAGCUUUGCCAUGACAAGGCUAAUGUGUUUGGCGCGUCAUGGAUUACAGGUAAAGCGUAUAUCUACUGCAGUAGGAAUAUUCUUAAAAAUAUUCGAAUAGCCGUGCUCGCGGUUAUCGGGCAUUGGGACUCACAAUGGCAUCUUGGUUAGAAACCUAAUUCGAAAUUUUAUUAAAUACUUCUGCAUUUAAAACAUUACAGGUUUUCUACUUUGCUUUCUGCAGACUCAAUUUGGAGUUUGUGCAGAAGCUAGGAGUUCAUUUAUAUAAGUUAGUUUCAUUUCAACCUAAUUCUCAAGUCUAGAUUAGAUAGAUGGUUUAAGUCUAUAGCCAAACAUUAGAGUUAAGUCAUUCUAUAGCUUCUGCUGUAUUAGUUAGCCACAAGUUUGUAAAUACCCAUAUAUUUUGUAAUAAUAUCUCCUUUGGAGCCUUAUUCAAACGUAUGCAAUGAAGAUCCAGAUUGUUGAACCUGUA
Oryza sativa Japonica Group (Japanese rice) is the source of this 2173-nucleotide non-coding RNA. The record is from RefSeq and is a predicted model, not a curated record. NCBI's taxonomy places the organism in Eukaryota, Viridiplantae, Streptophyta, Magnoliopsida, Poales, Poaceae.